Molecule: microRNA precursor, 144 nt
Filed under: Gossypium hirsutum (cotton)
Lineage: Eukaryota; Viridiplantae; Streptophyta; Magnoliopsida; Malvales; Malvaceae
Also listed under: 1 other name
Description: MIR7502 microRNA precursor family
Rfam family: MIR7502 microRNA precursor family
Source: Rfam by way of RNAcentral
UGUUAAAAAAAUUAUUAAUUUCUAUUGUUAAAAAUUAAUAUGGCUAACGAAAUAACCAGAUAGUUACACGUGGUGUGUCCUGUGUAAAUCAUUCUAACAUAUAAAGACUAUUUUUUAAAGUAAAAAUAGAUGGAAGUUUUAAUA